Molecule: ribosomal RNA, 495 nt
Filed under: uncultured bacterium
Lineage: Bacteria
Description: partial 16S ribosomal RNA
Rfam family: Bacterial small subunit ribosomal RNA
Source: RNAcentral
GACGAACGCUGGCGGCGUGCCUAAUACAUGCAAGUAGAACGCUGAGGGAGGAGCUUGCUCUUCUGGAUGAGUUGCGAACGGGUGAGUAACGCGUAGGUAACCUGCCUGGUAGCGGGGGAUAACUAUUGGAAACGAUAGCUAAUACCGCAUAACAGUAGAUGUUGCAUGACAUUUGCUUAAAAGGUGCAAUUGCACCACUACCAGAUGGACCUGCGUUGUAUUAGCUAGUUGGUGGGGUAACGGCUCACCAAGGCGACGAUACAUAGCCGACCUGAGAGGGUGAUCGGCCACACUGGGACUGAGACACGGCCCAGACUCCUACGGGAGGCAGCAGUAGGGAAUCUUCGGCAAUGGACGGAAGUCUGACCGAGCAACGCCGCGUGAGUGAAGAAGGUUUUCGGAUCGUAAAGCUCUGUUGUAAGAGAAGAACGAGUGUGAGAGUGGAAAGUUCACACUGUGACGGUAUCUUACCAGAAAGGGACGGCUAACUACGUG